Molecule: ribosomal RNA, 429 nt
Filed under: Chloroflexota bacterium
Lineage: Bacteria; Bacillati; Chloroflexota
Description: Chloroflexi bacterium partial 16S ribosomal RNA
Rfam family: Bacterial small subunit ribosomal RNA
Source: RNAcentral
UGGGGAAUAUUGCACAAUGGGCGCAAGCCUGAUGCAGCCAUGCCGCGUGUAUGAAGAAGGCCUUCGGGUUGUAAAGUACUUUCAGCGGGGAGGAAGGGAGUAAAGUUAAUACCUUUGCUCAUUGACGUUACCCGCAGAAGAAGCACCGGCUAACUCCGUGCCAGCAGCCGCGGUAAUACGGAGGGUGCAAGCGUUAAUCGGAAUUACUGGGCGUAAAGCGCACGCAGGCGGUUUGUUAAGUCAGAUGUGAAAUCCUCGGGCUCAACCUGGGAACUGCAUCUGAUACUGGCACGCUUGAGUCUCGUAGAGGGGGGUAGAAUUCCAGGUGUAGCGGUGAAAUGCGUAGAGAUCUGGAGGAAUACCGGUGGCGAAGGCGGCCCCCUGGACGAAGACUGACGCUCAGGUGCGAAAGCGUGGGGAGCAAACAGG